UACGAAGGGGGCUAGCGUUGUUCGGAAUUACUGGGCGUAAAGCGCACGUAGGCGGAUCGAUCAGUCAGGGGUGAAAUCCCAGAGCUCAACUCUGGAACUGCCUUUGAUACUGUCGAUCUAGAGUAUGGAAGAGGUGAGUGGAAUUCCGAGUGUAGAGGUGAAAUUCGUAGAUAUUCGGAGGAACACCAGUGGCGAAGGCGGCUCACUGGUCCAUUACUGACGCUGAGGCACGAAAGCCAGGGGAGCAAACGGG
RNAcentral lists this ribosomal RNA (253 nucleotides) under uncultured bacterium. RNAcentral describes it as "partial 16S ribosomal RNA". It matches the Rfam family "Bacterial small subunit ribosomal RNA", at positions 524 to 776 of the family's 1533-position model. The record is from RNAcentral.